This 1548-nucleotide unclassified non-coding RNA is filed under the name Bombus terrestris (buff-tailed bumblebee). Its description in RNAcentral is "misc RNA ENSBTSG00005027028.1". The record is from RNAcentral. Lineage: Eukaryota; Metazoa; Arthropoda; Insecta; Hymenoptera; Apidae.
GAUAUAUAUACCCGUCGAAUGCAGUUAUAACUGGUUAACUAUCUUAUGAUUAAAUGACUAUAGUUUACUUAAUGUGAUAGCAAUUAAGAUAUUUUAAUGUUUCCUUAACACUUUCCAUGUUUGUCAGCCAUCCUGGUUGGUAGACUUAUGGUGGACUGUAUGGUGUAGAUUAACUAUAGGCAUAACCAAUUUUAACACUUUACUGACCGUUAGCGGAUCAACAGCAUACGCACGUCCGACCGGCAGCUCAGGCGUAGAUUCUCCCUGUCGCCGGCUCUGUUUCGGUUUAGACUCUCCAAUACGAUUCUUUUCGUUCAUCGCGAAUGACAUGAAUUCCCUGGAGUUACCGUUCGAGGAUUCCCGAGGCGGCGGUUUGCUUUAAGCCGUACAAAUCGGUGGAGUCGCUAAAGCGUCAUUUGAUGAAGACAUGGAAGCAAAUUGAUCAAAGUACGGUGCGUGCCUCUAUAGAUCAAUGGAACGUCUCAAGGCUUGCAGCGACGCAAACGAAGGAAUUUUCAAAAACAAUUUCAUCUAACUAACAUUCUAUGAAAAUCAAGUUUGAACAUCCUUUCUAUACACGUGCACUCAAACAAGUCUCGAUUCAGUGAACAGUGUUUGCUGUUGGAGGCAAUGACGAAGAUCAUCGGAUCACCAGUCCAUAGAAAUUUAAUUAAAAGAGCACGAUUACGUAUGCAAAAGCAUGCACAUCAUCUGCAUCAGUUUUUGAAUGAAUAAAAUAAAUAAAAUUGUUGACGAUGAAGCACUUUCUUUUAUUCUGUGUUCUGGUGGUCAUUCGAGUCAUUUGGAAUUGCCAACUAUCGGUAAGGACGUUUACCGAUACGAACUUAAAUGACAAGAUUUUAUUCUUUCUUCCGAUUUACUUUUUCACGUAGAAUCGACGCCUGACCAAUUGCACUAUCACUUACCAGACACCCUGUAUAAGGAAAUAUUCGCGUACUUGGGUUUUUAACUUGAACUGGAUAAACAUAAAUCCAAUUACUCUGGAAUUUGCUAUAUAAUGUUACAUACGAAAUUUUAUAAUUAAUCGUAUCUGAAUUUGUAAUUAGACUGUAAAAUUGCAGGUAAAAUAGAGCAUACUGGUCGUUGAGAAAUUGAUAGUUACUAAAGUUAUAUUGGAUAUCUAGUUUGCCAGAUGUGCAAUCAAUAUCUGCGUUCAUAUAUAUUUACACAGCUACUAAAGAUAAACAAUUAAUUUAAUGAGAAAUUAUCAUCGUUACAAUAUGGAAAUUACAUCCUCUUUAUCGAAUAUUUUAACAUCCAAUACGAAAGUACUUUCCUGGCUAAAUUGUUUCUCAUUCUGGCCAUAGAAAACUUUGAUGCUGUGACAUAUAAAAAUCUCCAAAAUAAACGAAUGUAAAAUUCUCUGCAAAUUUGACUAAAAAAUAAAGCUAAAUUUUAUAGUGAAGCUAGAAAAUAAAGCUAAUAGAGUUAAAUUUCAAAAUGUGUAUCCUCGAUUGUACAGUCAGAGGAUUCAACUUCCAGCCAGACUUUCUGUUGAUCUUUUACUUAGAGCGAUAGAAAAUAAAU